This is a long non-coding RNA of Oreochromis aureus, 1464 nucleotides long. The record is from Ensembl. Lineage: Eukaryota; Metazoa; Chordata; Actinopteri; Cichliformes; Cichlidae.
CUGCAGACGAGAGGAGAAAGCCAUCCGACAGCAGCAACCAACUCUAUCAUCUCCACUAGAGGGAGGGCUAUCUCACAACAAGGCCACCAAGGAGCUGCAUCUGAGGGUCAGCAUGUGGUGAGUCAGUAGAAGCGAGCCAGCGAGCGCCUGAUCUCCGAGCGAGGCUUGUCAGCGUGGUCCUGAGUGGGCUGUGUGGAGCUUCUGUCAGAGAGUGUCACAUUUCCACGGCCCACACUGUGGCUCCUCUGUCCUCCUCAUGGCUGCAGCUCAAUGGGUCCUUUGAUGGGCCAACCCGAGGCCUUUCAUCAUCCAUCUCGCCACGGGGCACGGGGGCCAUGGGGGGUUGUGCCUCACAACACCUGGCAGGUAUGCAAAACCACGUGCCCGAGACAAAACAAAAGCCACUCUGUCAAACGUUUAUUGGAAAUUAAUUUCCUCUCCCUGAUUCUUUUUUUUUUUGUGCCUGUAAAUUGAAGAACGGAAAAGAACACGAUGAUGAGGGGCAGCGCUCAGACAUGGGGCAGUCACCAGACUGCGAGACCAUGCAAACUUGAUCUCCUGGACUGAGGUGGCUCAAAAACAUGCCCAUCUGAGCCAAAUAAUACUAAAAGUGCAGUGUAAAUUGGGCUGUCGCAUCUGUCUUGGGUCUUAUCGUACUUGGCCCUCUCCAGUUCCCAUACACCUGCCCCACGCUUCCCUUCGGCUGCACCCUUCUUCUCUUUUUGCCCCUGCCCCACAUACAGCAGGUCUGUCCCUGGGAUCAUCUUCUUCCUCCCCUUAUCUGCAGUUCAAAGUCUGUUGACUGAAUUAUCUCCGGACGGUAAGAGAGAAAGGAAACAACUGUCGUCAGCUCUCAGUCAGCCGGGGAGAAACUCGUCCCUGACAGCCGGUUGGUUAACCGGUCUUUACAGCCUAAUCCUGUGGUGGAGGCAUGGGAGCAGGGAGAGACAGCACAGCGUGAGGACACAUCAGCGUCUGCACACAGACAAAUGGCCUCAGUGUUUGCUUUCGGGGAGAGCGGUGUCACGAGAUAGUGGAUCUUCGUAGCGAGAGCGGAAGCUGAAGUCUCAGGUUUGAGUGGCCACAGAGAGCACAUGACUGAGGUGUUGAGAGGAAAGGUGUGGUGGCCGGGCCCUGCGGGAAGACAGAGGAGAAGAAAGAACAAGUGCUGCACAGCGGGAUGAGUGGAGGCUAUUGAACUCAGAACACCUGUGUUCACUGAUCAAAGGGAUUAUUGGUGUCUUGGGGCUUUGUUGCACCAGCCAUGUUGUUUCCAUAAUCACAGUUGCGCUCAGAGUGUCGAAGUUGAGCAAAGCAAAUCAGUUUUUAAAUCAACAUCACCAGUCAGCAUGAACGUUUUUCUACCAUGUGAUCUGGGACUAAAUACAGUACGGCCUGAUAAAUAAAGGUGGUUUAAAGGCGCCCAAGUCCUCCACAUUCACAUAGAUGUCCCCUCUGGCCUCG